Molecule: long non-coding RNA, 185 nt
Organism: Pundamilia nyererei
Lineage: Eukaryota; Metazoa; Chordata; Actinopteri; Cichliformes; Cichlidae
Exons: 3
Source: RefSeq, a predicted model, not a curated record
GCGGUGAUGAUGUGACGUGGGUCGUCCUCCAAAGGAAGGCCAUCUAGGAGGAAGGGAUCAGGAUCCAGGAACACAGUAAUACCUGAAAGUGAAACGACCUUUUUGGGUUGUCUUGAUGCAUCUCAAUCAUCCAGGUAUGCUGGACACAGCCAUCCCUGCUGAGCAGGGUUGGUUUUGGUGGGUUU